GACUGAUUAGCUAUAUAAUAAGUAUUUAUUUUGAAAAUAAAAAAAAGGGCUUACCCUAUUCGUCU
RNAcentral lists this transfer RNA (65 nucleotides) under Euseius nicholsi. RNAcentral describes it as "tRNA-Ser". Lineage: Eukaryota; Metazoa; Arthropoda; Arachnida; Mesostigmata; Phytoseiidae. The record is from RNAcentral.